CACGUAGGAGGCGAGCGUUGUCCGGAAUCAUUGGGCGUAAAGAGCGCGCAGGCGGCUUGGCAAGUCGGGUGUGAAAUCCCGGGGCUCAACCCCGUGACUGCAUUCGAUACUGUCAGGCUAGAGGUAGGUAGGGGAGAUCGGAAUUCCUGGUGUAGCGGUGAAAUGCGCAGAUAACAGGAGGAACACCGGUGGCGAAGGCGGAUCUCUGGGCCUUACCUGACGCUCAGGCGCGAAAGCUAGGGGAGCGAACAGG
RNAcentral lists this ribosomal RNA (253 nucleotides) under uncultured bacterium. RNAcentral's name for it is "partial 16S ribosomal RNA". It matches the Rfam family "Bacterial small subunit ribosomal RNA", at positions 524 to 776 of the family's 1533-position model. The record is from RNAcentral.